GCCUGGUUAGCUCAGUUAGUAGAGCGCUCCGCUGGAAAUGGAGAGGUCCCAGGUUCGAUACCCAAACAAGGCG
Molecule: transfer RNA, 73 nt
Filed under: Ixodes scapularis (black-legged tick)
Lineage: Eukaryota; Metazoa; Arthropoda; Arachnida; Ixodida; Ixodidae
Rfam family: tRNA
About the family: Transfer RNA (tRNA) molecules are approximately 80 nucleotides in length. Their secondary structure includes four short double-helical elements and three loops (D, anti-codon, and T loops).
Source: Rfam by way of RNAcentral